UGAACGCUGGCGGCAGGCCCUAACACAUGUCAAGUCCGAACGGUAACAGGAAGCAGCUUGCUGCUUCGCUGACGAGUGGCGGACGGGUGAGUAAUGUCUGGGAAACUGCCUGAUGGAGGGGGAUAACUACUGGAAACGGUAGCUAAUACCGCAUAACGUCGCAAGACCAAAGAGGGGGACCUUCGGGCCUCUUGCCAUCGGAUGUGCCCAGAUGGGAUUAGCUAGUAGGUGGGGUAACGGCUCACCUAGGCGACGAUCCCUAGCUGGUCUGAGAGGAUGACCAGCCACACUGGAACUGAGACACGGUCCAAACUCCUACGGGAGGCAGCAGUGGGGAAUAUUUUACAAUGGGCGCAAGCCUGAUGCAGCCAUGCCGCGUGUAUGAACAAGGCCUUCGGGUUUUUAACCACUUUGUUCGGGGUAAAGUACUUUCAGCGGGGAGGAAGGCGAUAAGGUUAAUAACCUUGUCGAUUGACGUUACCCGCAGAAGAAGCACCGGCUAACUCCGUGCCAGCAGCCGCGGUAAUACGGAGGGUGCAAGCGUUAAUCGGAAUUACUGGGCGUAAAGCGCACGCAGGCGGUCUGUCAAGUCGGAUGUGAAAUCCCCGGGCUCAACCUGGGAACUGCAUUCGAAACUGGCAGGCUAGAGUCUUGUAGAGGGGGGUAGAAUUCCAGGUGUAGCGGUGAAAUGCGUAGAGAUCUGGAGGAAUACCGGUG
This 717-nucleotide ribosomal RNA is filed under the name bacterium UASWS0120. RNAcentral describes it as "bacterial SSU rRNA". It matches the Rfam family "Bacterial small subunit ribosomal RNA", at positions 30 to 714 of the family's 1533-position model. The record is from RNAcentral.